This 69-nucleotide transfer RNA is filed under the name Marmota marmota marmota (Alpine marmot). It matches the Rfam family "tRNA". Rfam says of the family: Transfer RNA (tRNA) molecules are approximately 80 nucleotides in length. Their secondary structure includes four short double-helical elements and three loops (D, anti-codon, and T loops). Further hydrogen bonds mediate the characteristic L-shaped molecular structure. tRNAs have two regions of fundamental functional importance: the anti-codon, which is responsible for specific mRNA codon recognition, and the 3' end, to which the tRNAs corresponding amino acid is attached (by aminoacyl-tRNA synthetases). tRNAs cope with the degeneracy of the genetic code in two manners: having more than one tRNA (with a specific anti-codon) for a particular amino acid; and 'wobble' base-pairing, i.e. permitting non-standard base-pairing at the 3rd anti-codon position. Lineage: Eukaryota; Metazoa; Chordata; Mammalia; Rodentia; Sciuridae. RNAcentral also lists the same sequence under 1 other name. The record is from Rfam by way of RNAcentral.
GGUGUUGUGGCUCAGUGGUAGAGCACUUGCCUAGCAUGUGUGAGGCCUUGGGUUCGAUCCUCAGCACCA